Molecule: long non-coding RNA, 740 nt
Organism: Rhopilema esculentum
Lineage: Eukaryota; Metazoa; Cnidaria; Scyphozoa; Rhizostomeae; Rhizostomatidae
Source: RefSeq, a predicted model, not a curated record
UCAGAACAGUCUCAACUGGAUAAAAGCAUGAUAAAUUGUCGCAAAGAUCAUUUUCCAGCCAGGUGCAUUUUAGAGCACACGGUUGGAAAGAAAGGUUUGGAAAAAGAAGUCGACAUGUUUCUCACAAUGGACCCUUGAUUUUGGACGCAAUUUUCAGUGACAGUGUCGAGAACACGAUUUGAAUACCUUUCCCAAAUUGAAUAUUCAUCAGGACAUUCCCGUGGCAGAUUGACCAAAGUAUUGUAAACAUAUUCUCACCCAGCUUCAUCACACGGGCAUUUGCGAGACGUUUUGACACCACGAUUUGAAUGAAAGACAUUUCUUCUUUGGCCUUUGUUUCGUUAUAAUUUGAUUGAUUUAGAGGAUCUUUGUAUGUUUAUUGUAAAGUUGAAGGAUAAUUCAAGAUUUUGCAUCCUGCUCUCAAAUAGUUUCAGCGAUUGAUAGGACCCCUAUUUCAUAGAUUUUCAUACCCUACUUCCAAUUGGAUUUUUACGAGGAUGUUUAUGAAACACACGGUUCCCUCAUUGUACUUUUACAGAGUUUGCCCCCUAUGCGUUAUAAACAUCUAUUAGAUUUUGCUUUAAAUGUGCUAUUUAACUUUGGAGGAUCCUCAACUCUAGCCAUUUAUUGUUACCAAUCUUGCAAUUGGUUUUUUACGAGGAUGUUGGUGAAAUACACGCCUCCCUCAUUGUGAUAUAUUUGAGGGUUUGCCUCAUAUAUUUUGAAAACAUCAGAUUUUA